This 27-nucleotide unclassified non-coding RNA is filed under the name Mus musculus (house mouse). Its description in RNAcentral is "piRNA piR-mmu-68429237". Lineage: Eukaryota; Metazoa; Chordata; Mammalia; Rodentia; Muridae. The record is from RNAcentral.
UGGAGAGCACAUCCCACAUCUUGAAUC